Molecule: ribosomal RNA, 274 nt
Filed under: uncultured bacterium
Lineage: Bacteria
Description: partial 16S ribosomal RNA
Rfam family: Bacterial small subunit ribosomal RNA
Source: RNAcentral
AUACGGAGGGUGCAAGCGUUACUCGGAAUCACUGGGCGUAAAGCGCGCGCAGGCGGCUAUUUAAGUUGGAUGUGAAAGCCUACGGCUCAACCGUAGAACUGCAUCCAAAACUAUUUAGCUAGAGUGUGGGAGAGGAUGAUGGAAUUAGUUGUGUAGGGGUAAAAUCCGUAGAGAUAACUAGGAAUACCAAAAGCGAAGGCAAUCUUCUGGAACACUACUGACGCUGAGGCGCGAAAGCGUGGGGAGCAAACAGGAUUAGAAACCCUAGUAGUCC